RNAcentral lists this ribosomal RNA (875 nucleotides) under uncultured bacterium. RNAcentral's name for it is "bacterial SSU rRNA". It matches the Rfam family "Bacterial small subunit ribosomal RNA", at positions 96 to 953 of the family's 1533-position model. The record is from RNAcentral.
UGGCGGACGGGUGAGUAAUACGUGGGUGACCUACCCUUAAGUUGGGGAUAUCUUACUUAAUAGUUUGGUAAUCCCGAAUAGUAUAGCGGCGAGAAAUCGCUGUUAUGAAAGGUGGCUCCGCAAGGAGCUGUCGCUUAUGGAUGGGCCCGCGCUCUAUUAGCUAGUUGGUAGGGUAAUGGCCUACCAAGGCUACGAUGGAUAGCCGGCCUGAGAGGGCGAUCGGCCACACUGGGAUUGAGAUACGGCCCAGACUCCUACGGGAGGCAGCAGUCGGGAAUUUUGGACAAUACCCGCAAGGGUGAUCCAGCGAUACCACGUGAGUGAUGAAGUUCUUUGGAAUGUAAAACUCUGUCAGGGGAUGAGAAAAGGAUACGGUGAACAGCCGGAUCCGUUGACUAUCCCCAGAGGAAGCUCCGGCCAACUCCGUGCCAGCAGCCGCGGUAAUACGGGGGGAGCGAGCGUUGCCCGGAAUCACUGGGCGUAAAGGGUGUGUAGGCGGAUUUGUAAGUCAAGCGUGAAAUUUUCCGGCUUAACCGGAAAACUGCGCUUGAAACUGCAUUUCUUGAGUAUGAGAGAGGAGCAUGGAAUUCCAGGUGUAGCGGUGAAAUGCGUAGAUAUCUGGAAGAACACCGGUUGCGAAGGCUAUUCUCUAUCUCAAUACUGACGCUGUGACACGAAAGCCAGGGGAGCAAACAGGAUUAGAUACCCUGGUAGUCCUGGCCGUAAACGAUGGAUACUAGGUGUUGGAAGAUUCAACCCUUUCAGUGCCGAAGCUAACGCAUUAAGUAUCCCGCCUGGGGAGUACGAUCGCAAGAUUGAAACUCAAAGGAAUUGACGGGGGCCUGCACAAGCGGUGGAGCAUGUGGUUCAAUUCG